UACACAAGGCGCCACAGGUGUGCACCUGGGCGGUCGUAGGCCUGGCUGUGUCCUGCGCUGCCUGAGUGGCCGUCCGCCGGGGCGUGUGUGUGUCACAAUGCUCGGCCCAGAGCCUUAGGACAGUGCCGGGCAUUUACCUAAGAGGACAGGCAUUUACCUUGAGCAGACCAGUGGGUUGUUGCUCGGUUGUUUUUAAGCCCCGGGUGGAGACACUGGUGCUUUUGCUGCAUCACGAUGAGCGUGAAGAAGCCAGCGGGAGUUCAACGCAGAGCAAGCACCUCCCAUCCUGCGGGAGCCCCAUGGAGUCCCUGGUGAAGGCCGUCCUGCUCUCGCUGCUGCUAGACCCGGCGUUUCUCCUGACCCAGCAGGACGAGGGUAAGUGUGUGCGGCGCUCGGCUUUUCUCCGCCACUCCCCUUGGAUGACCUGGUGUCUGGGGACGUGUCCUGAGAUGUGAGUCCACUUUCCUUUGGUCUCUGACGUGCAUUGGGGACGUGGGACAUCACUGCCCGCUGGCUGGCCGCGUGCCACGGUCUAACCCAGCCGCCUUCAGGGGUGGGACGCGUCCCUGUGUGUGCGUGUCAGUUACUGAUAUUGAUGCUGAUUCUCAGCGCCUCGCCGUUGUAGGGAGGAUGGUGGUGAAAAACACACACUUAGGUCCCGAGUGCGUGUGGCGGGGGUGCUGGGCGGUGGGGUGUUCUGCUUCCUGGGCCGUCAGCGCUGUACGAUGGACUGGAGAUUAGGGGUAGUUGGGGGACUGUCGGUCUCAGGGAAACCCUUGGUCCUCCGGGUCCAACUGUCGUGGUGUCAAGACAUCCAGGUAAACGAAGCUCACUGGGCAGGACAGGGACCCCCGGAACCCCAAACGCCCUGUAAGAGCACUGUCAGGAAUCACUGCCCAGGCCUGGGGGCCCUGAAAUGACCAGGGAGAACUGCCGAACGACAGUUAGCUUUUGUGACUUUUAACCGACCUUUUGAGGGCAGACACGUGAUUGCUUUAGGCAGCCACGAUGGAGACCAGGG
Molecule: long non-coding RNA, 1021 nt
Filed under: Rhinolophus ferrumequinum (greater horseshoe bat)
Lineage: Eukaryota; Metazoa; Chordata; Mammalia; Chiroptera; Rhinolophidae
Description: lncRNA (ENSRFEG00010004582.1)
Source: RNAcentral